Molecule: ribosomal RNA, 497 nt
Filed under: uncultured bacterium
Lineage: Bacteria
Description: partial 16S ribosomal RNA
Rfam family: Bacterial small subunit ribosomal RNA
Source: RNAcentral
GAUGAACGCUGGCGGCGUGCCUAAUACAUGCAAGUCGAGCGAACAGACGAGGAGCUUGCUCCUCUGACGUUAGCGGCGGACGGGUGAGUAACACGUGGAUAACCUACCUAUAAGACUGGGAUAACUUCGGGAAACCGGAGCUAAUACCGGAUAAUAUAUUGAACCGCAUGGUUCAAUAGUGAAAGACGGUUUUGCUGUCACUUAUAGAUGGAUCUGCGCCGCAUUAGCUAGUUGGUAAGGUAACGGCUUACCAAGGCAACGAUGCGUAGCCGACCUGAGAAGGUGAUCGGCCACACUGGAACUGAGACACGGUCCAGACUCCUACGGGAGGCAGCAGUAGGGAAUCUUCCGCAAUGGGCGAAAGCCUGACGGAGCAACGCCGCGUGAGUGAUGAAGGUCUUCGGAUCGUAAAACUCUGUUAUUAGGGAAGAACAAAUGUGUAAGUAACUAUGCACGUCUUGACGGUACCUAAUCAGAAAGCCACGGCUAACUACGUG